Pseudopipra pipra is the source of this 1961-nucleotide long non-coding RNA. RefSeq lists it as uncharacterized. Lineage: Eukaryota; Metazoa; Chordata; Aves; Passeriformes; Pipridae. The record is from RefSeq and is a predicted model, not a curated record. The transcript is spliced from 2 exons.
CGCCUGAAGCCACCAUGCAACCCGGAAGAAAGCCACUGUGGAUCGCUGCCAUGGCAACAGACGCUGUUUUCGGAAAAAAAAAAAAAAAAUAAAAAGCAGAACCAGGAUUACUCAAACAGCUGCCAGAGUCCGGCGUGCGGGUGCUGAGGCCGCGCUCCAGGGCUGGGGGCUGCGCGCUGGGGCUGCCGCUGCGCCGGCUCGGCCGUGGGGGAGGCGGCGCUGGCAGCCACGGCAAGAGGCGGCAGGGGCACCUCGGCGGCAGAGGCACCUCAGCGACAGAGGCAACGCCGACAGCUACUUCUGCAGAGCCAGCCAGACUUCUGCGGGCAUCCCCGGGAGCUGCACGGCGCACGGAGCAGCCCGGGGAACAGCAGCUCGGCGGUGACUGACUUGCGGGGGAGUUGCCCCGCAGAAUCCAGGCAUGUCGGUAACUGAGAACAGAAAGCAGAAUCUCUCUCUCUUUAGUCCUUCUACUCACUUGUGGAUAACUUAAAACUAAAAGAUUGUGUUUUACUAAAAGUUAGCAUGCAAGAAAUUUUAAGAGUUUCCCAGAGAAUGAAUCUUUAUAUAAAAGCUUUAGUGAGUUGCCUUGGUUUUAGUCACAUUUUACCCCUGUAAAGAACUUCUGCCCAAAUUUCGUGUUCAGUCUUAGCAGGAGGAGACAUAAGGUUCACACAAUAGAGAUCAUUUGUUGCUUAGCAACUGGGUGGGACUCAAACCACCUCCAGCAGUUUCUCAGAACUAGGGAGAGAGUAGAACUUAUACACCAAAAACUACAAAUCUGCAAAUAAGAUAAAUGGAAAGCUGGCAGGCUGAGGAUUUCCUUGAUUCUUAGGUAAAACAUCUCUCUAUCUUCCUGUUAUAAACUGAGAAGUUAUUGUGACAGUGGAAAUCACAUCUUUAGAAUUGUAUUUAAAAAGGUUUACUCAGCUGAUUUUAACAUUUGGAUGUUAAUUUACAUUCCUGUCUGAUAUUAUUUCUUUUCCUUGGUCAAGUUUAGUGAAUUCAUUAUUUUUUCCUUUUUUUUUUCUUCUGUGUUUAUGACAGAGUUGCAACUUUGAGUUGCAUUUCAUGUACUGUUUAAGCAAUUGUUAAUAUUCUAUUUAUAACAUAGCAGCAAGUACAUUUUUUUUCAGAUUUUAAUAUAUAUCUUCUGUCGUGGAUUCGUACAGUAUGUACAGAGCAGUUUGGUCAAACAAAACGUAUUAUAUGUUUUUAAAUGUUUUAUAACUGCUGAUAUAGCAUACAGCCUCAUUGCUUUUCUAAAAACACUACUCAGGCACACACUAUGCUGUGAAGUUUGACUUAUCUCUCUUGGCACUGAUGUUAUGUCAACAGUUAUACUACAUGAAUUUCAGAUUAUUUUUAAAAUAACCUAACAAGAUGCAAAAUGUGUGUGUUUACUUUAUACCAAUAAAAGAGCAGAUUGCUAAAUUACACUUUGCAAAACUAUUGAUGCGUGAAUUAGAACUUUUUAUGCCCAUUUGAUUUAUAAAGCAGAAAUGUCUGGAGACCACAUGAUAAUCUGUCAGGAAAUCAGUAGAGAUUGCAAUAAAGCUACUAGAGUCAGGUUGAAUUUAGUAAAAUUUUUCUAGUUUGCCUCCCAAUAUAACGAUCUCAAAGCUAGAUUUAGUUAGCUUUACAUUCGGGAAAUUAAUUAAAACCUGUGAGUGAUUUAGGAUUUUAGUAUAAUGGGUGUGGUUUUUACCUGUUCUGUGCUGUUGUUCCACAAUUAUGGAGUUACAUGUUCUUACAACUAGUUAUUUGUUUUCCUUUGUGCUGCUUAUGUUGUGAAUUUUGUUCUCUUACCGAAAUUUCAUAGAUAAAAGAACUAAAAACACGAGGAGAUGAUGUAGAUCACAUCUAAGGAACUGGCUGCAAGCUGGAAUCUGGCCUUCUAUAUCCUUCUGAACUGCACAUGUAGCUUAAGGCUGAGUAUUAAACAGAAUGAUCAAACAGUA